UGACUGCCAAAAAUUAUAAAAUUCCAC
This 27-nucleotide non-coding RNA is filed under the name Rattus norvegicus (Norway rat). The record is from RNAcentral. Lineage: Eukaryota; Metazoa; Chordata; Mammalia; Rodentia; Muridae.